AGAACGAACGCUGGCGGCAUGCCUAACACAUGCAAGUCGAACGCUCUUGGGGCUUCGGUUCCAAGGGAGUGGCGCACGGGUGAGUAGCGCGUGGGAACCUGCCCUGGAGUGGGGGAUAACCGAGGGAAACUUCGGCUAAUACCGCAUGCGCCCGGGAAACCGGGGAAAGAUUUAUCGCUCUAGGAGGGGCCCGCGUCGGAUUAGCUAGUUGGUGGGGUAACGGCCUACCAAGGCUUUGAUCCGUAGCUGGUCUGAGAGGAUGAUCAGCCACACUGGGACUGAGACACGGCCCAGACUCCUACGGGAGGCAGCAGUGGGGAAUAUUGGACAAUGGGCGCAAGCCUGAUCCAGCAAUGCCGCGUGAGUGAUGAAGGCCUUCGGGUUGUAAAGCUCUUUCGCACGCGAGGAUGAUGACGCUAGCGUGAGAAGAAGCCCCGGCUAACUUCGUGCCAAGACGCCGC
RNAcentral lists this ribosomal RNA (461 nucleotides) under uncultured bacterium. Its description in RNAcentral is "SSU rRNA". It matches the Rfam family "Bacterial small subunit ribosomal RNA", at positions 26 to 518 of the family's 1533-position model. The record is from RNAcentral.